GAUGAACGCUGGCGGCGUGCCUAAUACAUGCAAGUCGAGCGAACAGACGAGGAGCUUGCUCCUCUGACGUUAGCGGCGGACGGGUGAGUAACACGUGGAUAACCUACCUAUAAGACUGGGAUAACUUCGGGAAACCGGAGCUAAUACCGGAUAAUAUAUUGAACCGCAUGGUUCAAUAGUGGAAGACGGUUUUGCUGUCACUUAUAGAUGGAUCCGCGCCGCAUUAGCUAGUUGGUAAGGUAACGGCUUACCAAGGCGACGAUGCGUAGCCGACCUGAGAGGGUGAUCGGCCACACUGGAACUGAGACACGGUCCAGACUCCUACGGGAGGCAGCAGUAGGGAAUCUUGCGCAAUGGGCGAAAGCCUGACGGAGCAACGCCGCGUGAGUGAUGAAGGUCUUCGGAUCGUAAAACUCUGUUAUUAGGGAAGAACAAAUGUGUAAGUAACUAUGCACGUCUUGACGGUACCUAAUCAGAAAGCCACGGCUAACUACGUG
This 497-nucleotide ribosomal RNA is filed under the name uncultured bacterium. Its description in RNAcentral is "partial 16S ribosomal RNA". It matches the Rfam family "Bacterial small subunit ribosomal RNA", at positions 28 to 507 of the family's 1533-position model. The record is from RNAcentral.